Podarcis lilfordi (Lilford's wall lizard) is the source of this 2053-nucleotide non-coding RNA. The record is from the annotation of a GenBank genome assembly. Lineage: Eukaryota; Metazoa; Chordata; Lepidosauria; Squamata; Lacertidae.
GUGAGACGUAAAUGAAAGAGAGAAAAAGAUAAAACAGAAACAGCACCAUAGUAUUCCACAAGUAGAGAAGAAGGCAACAAAACAAAACCAGGCGACCAGAGUAUAUAGCUGGGAUGUGUGUGUGGAAAUAGCCACAGAUCAAUUUUAUGGGGCAAACUAGGAGCCACCUCGCAAUAAAAGCAGAAGUUGCCAAUUAAAAAGAUAACUAUUCAUGGUAACUCUAAAGGGGACCAUGAGCAGUUGACUUUUGCUCCAAGUUUAAUCUUUACUGGUUUUUCAAAAUACAUCACGGUUAUCCUUUUCCAUCCAGAAUAUACACAAAAGCAAUCCUAAAGUGUUGGAAAUGAAGUAUAGUUGUAUAAUGAAGUAAUGAAACUUCCCUCCACCCCAACAUGGGUCCUCUACAUAUCUGUAUCAACUGCAUAUUGAAUACUAUCUAGUUUAUAAUUAUCCGUUAUUUCCAUGUUAUGUCACAUGCUGAGCAGUUGACUUUUGAUCACAUUGCCUCAAAACUGCCAUCCAGUUUUUUUCAGAGCAAUCCUAAAUGAUGUCAGGGAGAAAGUGCAACAUGGCAGCUCUACUGCUUUGUGCCAGCCAAGACAGUAGGUAUGGGGAAUGUUGCUUUGCAGUUUUUCACUAUGCCAAUUUUAGGGUCCCUUAGGGGAUUUGCGGAGUCCAAAGCUUUUGGGUGACAAACCUUGAAACCCUUUGGGGGCUUUCUGCUUGCUGUUACUAGUGGCAGAAUCACCUUCCUGGGCACAGCUGCAGGAUAAAUUGGUUUAUCCUGAAUUUUAAUUGAUUUAUCUGUUAUAAGGGGUUGCCAGCCAUCAGUUUAAACCAUAAUCCAAAGAGCAGCUUGAUAUGCACAAACCAGCAAGGCAAGUUAUUCAAAGUAUAAACAUUAUCCCCUGACUGUGCAUUAGUUGACUCCAAUAGGCUUCAAUGAUUACUCCAAAAGCUGGUAAUCCCAUAUUUAUUCAGAAAGAGUUAGUAGCCUGACAAAAACAGAAGUGCCCAUAUCCCUUGCUGUAGGAUUGAAAACGUUUAAUGAAGAGCAAGCUUUAAAUAAUGUAAAUAAUAAGAAUGAUGAUGAUAUAUUGAAACAAAGCCCCACCCUCUCCUGACAUUGAAUGGUUUUGGAUUGGAAUCAGUUACACUAAUCUGCAUAUUAAUCUGUUUACCACACUUCUGUAUAUUGUGAAAAGGGAAUUAGUUGUCAAAUAUUUUCUUGCCUUGCCCCCGUGGAAUGCAGAAAUUGAGUAAGUUAAUAAGUGAAACGUGCAACCUUUCAAACAGCUAAAAACAGACCGUUUCACAACCUUCAGAGAUUUAAUAAUGUAUUGUCCAGAGUGUGGAGGAGGUCAGAGUGUUCAUUGAGCAAAAAUAGAAAUCAAAAUGAAGUAAACCAGGAAUGUUAAACCUUAAUUAAAACAAAUUAAACAUUUCCAAAACAUUUUUUUUCUUUUGCUGCUCUUAAAUUUACAAGGUUAGCAUCCAAAUCCUGUGCAUAUUUACUUGGAAAUUGGUUCCACUUAGUUCAGUAGGACUUACUUCCCAGUUGCUUUGCUCUACUUGAGAGUAAUGCUCAUUGGAUUGGAUGGGAUUACUCAACUAAACAUGUAUAAGACUGGGCUAUAUAUUGGGCAUAGGACCGCAGCCUUGCUAGGAAGGAAUGUGAACUUAAUAGAAGCUAAGCACAAUAGUGCUACUUUUGAUCUGGGACAGAAUUAAAUUUGAUUAUUAGUACCUAUUAGUGGCUAUAAAAAAGGAAAAAGAACAUUUCACAUCUUUCUCUUUUAGGUUUCAACAUGGUUUUGUUUUGGAGUAUUUGGAGGGUGGAACAAAGCUCAGAGGUGGAACACAUACAUUCCGUGCAGAAGAUUCCUGGCUCAAUCCCUGGUAUUAUCAGUUAAAAGGAUAAGAUAACAGGUUGCAUGAAAGAUCUCUGAUCGACAUUGUGCCGAGCCACUUCCACAGUUAGAGAUGGGCUAGAUUUGGGGUCACCAGCCUUUUUGCACCAAUGGGCACAUUGGGAACUUCAAUAAAGUGCUCU